UACGUAGGCAGCAAGCGUUGUUCGGAGUUACUGGGCGUAAAGGGUGCGUAGACGGCUUUUUAAGUUUGGUGUGAAAUCUCCCGGCUCAACUGGGAGGGUGCGCCGAAUACUGAGAGGCUAGAGUGUGGGAGAGGAAAGUGGAAUUCCUGGUGUAGCGGUGAAAUGCGUAGAUAUCAGGAGGAACACCGGUGGUGUAAACGGCUUUCUGGACCAUAACUGACGCUGAGGCACGAAAGCGUGGGUAGCAAACAGG
RNAcentral lists this ribosomal RNA (253 nucleotides) under uncultured bacterium. RNAcentral's name for it is "partial 16S ribosomal RNA". It matches the Rfam family "Bacterial small subunit ribosomal RNA", at positions 524 to 776 of the family's 1533-position model. The record is from RNAcentral.